AUUAAACAAGAAUGUGUCCAAAGUACACGGAUGCCCCACUUUCACUAUCAUUUUCCAUGUUCAAUGGACCAUGAAAUUGAAUAAAAAAUAUAAUUAGGCAUUAAAAUUAGAAAGAUAAUAUCAUAGGGAACAUGUGUACUAAGUUUCAAGUUGAUUGGACUUCAACUUCAUCAAAAACUACCUUGACCAAAAACUUUAACCUGAAACAUGCACUUUCAUUUUCUAUGUUCAGUGGACCGUGAAAUUGGGGUCAAAAGUUUAAUUUGGCUUUAAAAUUAGAAAGAUCAUAUCAUAAGGAACAUGUGUACUAAGUUUCAAGUUGAUUGGACUUCAAC
This 335-nucleotide long non-coding RNA is filed under the name Mytilus galloprovincialis (Mediterranean mussel). Lineage: Eukaryota; Metazoa; Mollusca; Bivalvia; Mytilida; Mytilidae. The record is from RNAcentral.